Molecule: long non-coding RNA, 3726 nt
Organism: Formica exsecta
Lineage: Eukaryota; Metazoa; Arthropoda; Insecta; Hymenoptera; Formicidae
Exons: 2
Source: RefSeq, a predicted model, not a curated record
UAACAUUAAAAAAUUUAAAAAUAUAUUUUUAGAGUGAUUUAAAUCAUCGAUGUACUGCCUGGCAACGAUUAGAAUUGGAAACUAAUCUAGAGAUACUGUCAACAUUGUUGUUCGAAUGGCUAGAGGGUCUUAAACAUCCGCUUCUUGAUGUUGAUAGUCUCAGUUAUAUUGUCGCGUGGAGUUCAAAGCCGCAGCGGUGUCUUGGAAAAUUGUCCGUCUGCACAAGAUACUUAUUAGAAUAUCUUUUACGAUUUGUUACCCGCUUAAGGCCUGUGACAUCGGAGAGUCAGAGCUUAAUUACUAAGAGACUUAUGGCGGCGCUGACACAACAAACAAUCUGGAUCAAGAAUUCUUUUCAUCCUUCAAAUAAACAUUUUCAGAAAUUGCGACGUGGCACCGCUGGAAAACUAAAUGAAUUUUUCAUUCGCUUGAUGAACUUGAUAGAGGAAGUUAACACUCAAGGAUUGGACAAACCCCCAUGGGCAUCUAAAUGGGAAUUAUUAUCCAAACAUUUGCGUGAUAUGGAUAAUCAGAAAAACAAUGAAUAAGUGUAAUAAAUUGACAUUUAGCAUUCUGACGAAUUUAUUUCUAAUUGCCAAUGAUGUAGGUAUGUCGUUUAUUUUUUGUGUUUUUUUAGAUAUUAAAGAAAAUAAUUUAUAAUUUCUACAACUUUUAUUUACAAUAUGCUAACUCUGUUUAAACUAUAAAAAUGUCUUAUCUGUAAUAACAGCUGUAAAUAGCUAUGCAAGCAGGGUUUGAUACGUUGAGAUUAAAGAGAUAUAAGAAUUUUGUAAUAAUAUAAAAUAUAGUACUGAACAGCAUCUUUUAUUAUUGUAUAUCUUAUAUUAAUAUUGUACAUUAUUGCUGUUCUGCUUGAAAAAAACUUGACAAUCGCGCACUGCAAGAUACUAUUUGUAAGCACUGUUAUUUUUUUAAAUCUGUGAUAAUGUUAGAAAAAUUGACUUCCAAUACCAGCAGCGACUACGUGAAUUUCUAGAUUGCUUAAUUUAAUAAUUAUGUAUUAUAAUUCCUGGAUGCAAUUUUCUCUUGAUUAACUCUGAAUGUUAAUUAUGAUAAUUCUAUAAUAAUUAUUUUUAUAAUAAAGUACAUUAUAAUUUAUCUUUCAAAUUAAAUAUUAACAAAUUUAGUAAAUACGUCGUACACAUUAAACAAUAUUUGAUUAUGUGAAUGAUUAUAACAAAUAAAGAAGAAUAUUUUAUAGCAAUAGCAGUAGGCGCUGGUAAGAUAUUGUACACACUGCUAUUUUCAUACAAAUAUUGCUAUCAGAUUGCGAAGUAAUAGACCAAGACGAGCCUAGAUAGUAAAAUUUGAAAUGCAACAGGCGGUGAAUUACUUGAAAUAUAUUACAUUAAAAAAAAAGAAGCAUAUAUUAGAGUUUUGCAAAAAUCCUUCUGCAUCUCAUUUAUAGUAAAUUCAGAUUUAUUAACAGAUUGAUCCAGAUUAUUCAGAUUUAAUUAACAAUAGCACAUUAUGUUAUCAACUAAUGCAGUAAUUCAAACUGUAGAUAACAUAUUUAUUCAUCUCGUUUUUCUCUCUGAUGCUAAAUUUUAUGUUUAAGCAUCAGUAAUUUUAUGACAAGAUUAUAACAUAUUUUAUGGUAUUUUGAUAUUUAUCAUGUUACAUUAAAUUAUAUCUGCGAUUCUCUACAAACACACACACACACGCACAGGCGUGUAUAUAUAUGUAUAUAUAUAUGUAUAUAUACAUAUAUAUGCGCGCGGGCGCGCGCGUGCAUUACACACAUUUUUUAAAAUUAUGACCCGGAUUUACAUCUCACAAUUAGUACUAAAUGUGAUCAUCUAAGUCUUAUAAUCAAUUUGAUCUAUAUCAUUAAUUGUGAAAUAUAUGAUAUACAUAUCUAGUUCAAAUAAGAUUCAAACAUAUUUGACAAUCACAUUUGAUAUAAAAUGUAGUCAUGAAAUCUAUAUCUUCUCAAUAAAUAAAAUGGACAUUAGAAAAAUAUAUUUUCUUGAUGUUUGAUAAUAACGUAUGCAAAAAUUAUUAUAUACAGAUCAAUAUCAAAUAUUGUUUAAUAAUAAUAUGCUUGAAAUAAUAAAAAAAUAAUAAAAAGCUUUAUACCAGAUAGUGAUAACAAGUAGCAAGAAGUGUUUAAGAUCCCUUUAUUAAAUGCAUUAACAUAGGGAAUUUGAAAACAGAAUUCUUAAAGAGCACAAAGUUCUUGUUUUUUAUAUAUAUCGCAGUUUUAUUAAGUAUAUAUCCUUUCAAGAUAAUUCUAUAUCAGCUAAGAUCUUAAUACUAACGCUUAUAUCGAACUAGAAAAUGCGAUUCCGUAAAUUCUCUAUUUACAGUAUGAUAUAAGUGUUUCCUGCAAUCUAUAUAUAGACAUAUAUAUUCUCUAAAUACAUUAAUUUACGUAUAUAAAUCUCGAUACGUCUAACGGGAUUAUCAAGCAUUAUACAAACGAUAUCAGUCUUAUACAAAGAAAGUACGGUGAAAAUGAUAAUUUAUUGGUACUUACAAUUAUUAAUUUUAAUCGCGACUACUUCUAUGCUCCGUCAUUACCAUUUUCGACGUAAAGAACGGAGGUUGAUAAAAAUAUAGUUGAAGAGAACUUGUGCAUGGUUUUCUUUCAGUAACACAUUUAAUUUCUUAGUAAAAUCGGUACAUUUUUACAAGACAACUUAUCAUACAAAUACUUAACAAAGUAAUUCAGACAAUAAACGUUCUAGAAAAUUUUGCAAUAAUUUUCAAUCUGUGCCAGCGGUCUCCUCUAUUCGAUCGAUUAUACGGUCUAUUUUCGUGAAAUGUAUUUUUUGUUAAAACUCGAAUUGCGAUAACAAGCACCUUGUUUUUUUUCUUCUUACAAAUGUUAUUACAAAUUAUAAAGAAAGAACAAAAAAAAAAAAAUUAGAAAAUGUGGACGCUGAAGAAAUCAUUUCUAAACUUGUUCGAUGGCAGAUUAUAGGUAUAUUUUUUUAUGUUAAAACCGUAUUCGUUUGAACAUUCUUGUAACACGUUUGAUUUCCUUGCAAGGGAAUACUUUAUUUGAUGAGAAUUAUUACGAUGUGUUAUGUACACAUAUUCGUGAGAACGUUGAAUAGGACGCGAUGAAAUUUGUCAUACACGAACAUGCCCGUUUCAAUCAUAGUUGUGCAAUACAUUAAAAUUGCUAUUCGGACAUUAAUUAAUGUAUGUAUAACAAUUACUUAUUCCACAAAAUAUGAUAAACCGUUAUACGUUUAUUUUGUCGGCAUGUUAUACUGAAUUUCACUACAACAGCUUUACACCAGCGAAAGAUGAAGAAUCUGAGAAAGUUUACUUCUUUCAGAAAAAUUUUCUUCUCUCAAUACGAUUGAUUUUUAUCUGCUUAUAUCUCGAUUCAUUUAUUAAAUAAACGUUCGCAUCAAUUUGGCACAGUUCAUGUCGGAUGCUUCGAUCUAUCUGAUAUAAUUGCACAGAACCGCCAUCGCUUUUAUCAGAGCAAAACAAUAAAAUGUCCAGGUAAUGCAUCAGGAGCCUUGAUCGCUUAUCCGGUUCGUUAUCAGCAAUUAUUUUCGAGCAUUUUGCAAAAUCCUACGCGGCACGCGCGAUUAACAGCUAUAAUUCCUAGAGCAUUGUGUAAGCAAAAUAAUGAAAUAAUCGAUUCGCUCGAAGCUUCUCGAAAUGAUCGAUCGUAAUGUCCGCGUAAAUCUAAUAAAUCCAAUUUGCCUUCAUCAAACAAACAUAACAAAAAAAAAAAAAACA